This 253-nucleotide ribosomal RNA is filed under the name uncultured bacterium. RNAcentral's name for it is "partial 16S ribosomal RNA". It matches the Rfam family "Bacterial small subunit ribosomal RNA", at positions 524 to 776 of the family's 1533-position model. The record is from RNAcentral.
UACGUAGGUGGCAAGCGUUAUCCGGAUUUAUUGGGCGUAAAGGGAACGCAGGCGGUCUUUUAAGUCUGAUGUGAAAGCCUUCGGCUUAACCGGAGUAGUGCAUUGGAAACUGGGAGACUUGAGUGCAGAAGAGGAGAGUGGAACUCCAUGUGUAGCGGUGAAAUGCGUAGAUAUAUGGAAGAACACCAGUGGCGAAAGCGGCUCUCUGGUCCGUAACUGACGCUGAGGUUCGAAAGCGUGGGUAGCAAACAGG